Molecule: long non-coding RNA, 723 nt
Organism: Cherax quadricarinatus
Lineage: Eukaryota; Metazoa; Arthropoda; Malacostraca; Decapoda; Parastacidae
Source: RefSeq, a predicted model, not a curated record
AUCUUCUCUUGUGAUACUGUGCAUUAAUGUAGACCAUAAAGCUGAUAGAACUUUCACAACUGCUGCUGCAAGUAUGGGAAUACUAGAUGCAGUUUCUCUUAAUGCAUCAAGUUUAUGUAUAACAGUAUGGCCAGGUCCAGUGAAAUUAUCAGCAGGCUGGUAGACAGCAACCACCUAGAGAAGUACUACCAUCCUACCAAAUGUGUGCAAUUUUAUUUCAAACUAAACAUACAGGAACUUCAAAACACAAUGUGGGUCAUCUGGGACAUUAAGAAAUGCAAGAAAUAAAUAGAUGCACCAAGCACGAACAUCACGAAUAUCUUGCAGGCUCUGACGAUUCACAACAUGAGAAAUAUUGACUCGUUUCCAGUCCACUGUUAAUAAUACCUUGUUUGCAGCUUCUCCUCCUAACAUCACUAUUCCUAAAAAAAUUAAACAUAACAUCUUAUUACAUACCUUCAAGAUUAUUCUUUUCUGAUUUGGAAAAAAGUUUUUUAUGCAGAAAUAAAAAAAAUAUUGAAAUAAGAGAUUUUUUAUAAGUGAAAUAGAACCAUUACUUGAACUUAGACUCAGCAAUAGCAAAUCCUAUUACCAAUGCAAUUAAUUUUUAUUAAAAAUUAAGAAAAAUAUUUGCUUUAUUACCAUAUGUCAUUUUAUGUGGAAUCCUUGCACCUGCUAUACAAUAUUAGGCAAUAAUAUUAAAGUGAAAUUAUCAAACUUACA